RNAcentral lists this long non-coding RNA (1844 nucleotides) under Olea europaea (common olive). RNAcentral describes it as "long non-coding RNA (OEUR_LNC007978)". Lineage: Eukaryota; Viridiplantae; Streptophyta; Magnoliopsida; Lamiales; Oleaceae. The record is from RNAcentral.
AUCUAUUUUCAGAAGAGUAUUGCCAUCCAAUUUAAGAGAGGAUAAGUCAGUGAUGCCUGUCACAGAUAGGACAAGAAGCAAUCCUGAAUCUCAGGAACCUGAACAAGAACCUUCUAACAAUACACAAGGGAAGUUAUGGACAAAUGGUGGAUUGCUAGGAUUAGAUCCAUUAAAACCUCCAGAUUUCAGUGUAUUAAAUGCCAUCCAUCAAGAUCCUGCAUCCAGCAAAGAUGGAAGCAUCUGUACUUUCAGGGCUAGAGCUGCAAAGAAAUCUGAUGAAAUCGAGAACUCCAGAAAUAUGGGAAAUGAUUUCGAUAUGGAUAGCUCUAUAUCACAUCAAAAUUACCAGGAAGGUGGCACCUCAUUUGGGAAGACGUCUUGGAAAAUUUCGACUACCAAUUUAGAUGUCAAGCUUGAAAAGUCCAGUAAUUCACUUCAUCGAAAUUAUGUCGGUAGUACUGCGAACAAUGGAUCUACUGACUCUGGUGUAGGACCAUCUAGAAGUUCUCAGCCUGUCAGCUCAGAUAUUCGAUUUACCAGAGAUCAUAGGGAGAAUUGCAGAAGUUCUAGGAUGUUUGAACUGGGCAAUCUAUUGUUUACAAAUGAAUCUUAUAGAAAGCUAUUGGUUGGCAGAGAUGACCACUCUGGUUCUUCCGGCUACCUAAAUACAGGUGUUAUCGAACAGAACAAUUGUCAAAAUAUUGCAGAUCAAUCAUUCUCUGGAAGAUCUAGAGAUUUGUUUGGAGGUGGAUCUCGAUUAAUGUCGUUCUCUUCCUCACCGCCACUUGAACACAUGAAAGUAUCGUUCCGGCCUACAGAUGGCUGUGAGACUACCAAGAUGAACUUAAAAUUCGCUGAUGGCAAUAAUAAUCUUGGAAGCGAUGGAAAUAUUUUUCCUUCAUUUCAAUUGGUCCCAGGGAUGUCAACUACUCAGCAUAACGUUGGUUCGGACUCAGAUGACACAUUCUAUAGAUCAUCACCUUCUGUAUCAGAUGAUAGUCUUAGCCAUCGGUCUAAUUCAAAUUCUGAGCAAUGUGAGUCCGGAGAAUCUCCCAGUAGCAAGGAGCACGAUUUAUAUGACGUUUUACGCAGAAUCUCGUCGAUGGAAUCUACUUCAACAAUAAGGGAAAAUGGGAGGUCGAGACACGGAGAGAUCUAUGAGAACCCUUGUCGUCAACUUCCAUUUGUUAAAAGCGUUGUGGACAAACAUUCUCAAUCUUGUGGUUUGUUUGAUAUUCCAAAGUUUAAUAUCCAAAAUCACUCGCUCAGGGAAGAACUGCAAAACGAUUCGUCAACAAUGGAUCCUGUGGAGACACAAUUUUCACCUACCCCUCCACCUCUCCCUCCUGCACAAUGGCGGACUAUGAAGUCACGUCUGGAUGAUACAGAAAAUGGGCAUGCUGUGAUAUCUGGCGGCCUUAACUAUGCAUCUGGUCUUACACGUUCAACAUCUACAAUAUCUCAUCAACCUAAGCAGUUCACAGAUAGGACAAGAAGCAAUCCUGAAUCUCAGGAACCUGAACAAGAACCUUCUAACAAUACACAAGGGAAGUUAUGGACAAAUGGUGGAUUGCUAGGAUUAGAUCCAUUAAAACCUCCAGAUUUCAGUGUAUUAAAUGCCAUCCAUCAAGAUCCUGCAUCCAGCAACGAUGGAAGUAUCUGUACUUUCAGGGCUAGAGCUGCAAAGAAAUCUGAUGAAAUCGAGAACUCCAGAAAUAUGGGAAAUGAUUUCGAUAUGGAUAGCUCUAUAUCACAUCAAAAUUACCAGGAAGGUGGCACCUCAUUUGGGAAGACGUCUUGGAAAAUUUCGACUACCAAUUUAGAUGUCAAGCUUGAAAAGUCCA